RNAcentral lists this ribosomal RNA (468 nucleotides) under uncultured bacterium. RNAcentral's name for it is "partial 16S ribosomal RNA". It matches the Rfam family "Bacterial small subunit ribosomal RNA", at positions 28 to 507 of the family's 1533-position model. The record is from RNAcentral.
GACGAACGCUGGCGGCGUGCUUAACACAUGCAAGUCGAACGGAAAGGCCCUGCUUUUGUGGGGUGCUCGAGUGGCGAACGGGUGAGUAACACGUGAGUAACCUGCCCUUGACUUUGGGAUAACUUCAGGAAACUGGGGCUAAUACCGGAUAGGAGCUCCUGCUGCAUGGUGGGGGUUGGAAAGUUUCGGCGGUUGGGGAUGGACUCGCGGCUUAUCAGCUUGUUGGUGGGGUAGUGGCUUACCAAGGCUUUGACGGGUAGCCGGCCUGAGAGGGUGACCGGCCACAUUGGGACUGAGAUACGGCCCAGACUCCUACGGAAGGCAGCAGUGGGGAAUAUUGCACAAUGGGCGGAAGCCUGAUGCAGCAACGCCGCGUGCGGGAUGGCGGCCUUCGGGUUGUAAACCGCUUUCGCCUGUGACGAAGCGUGAGUGACGGUAAUGGGUAAAGAAGCACCGGCUAACUACGUG